GGGGCUGAAGGGGGGGCGGGUUAUAUACAUGCAAGUCGAGCGGGACAGUAUGGGGAGCUUGCUCCCUGUAUGUUAGCGGCGGACGGGUUGAGUGAGACGUGGGUAACCUGCCUGUAGACUGGGAUAACUCCGGGAAACCGGGGCUAAUACCGGAUGCUUCAUUGAACCGCAGGGUUAAUUUAUAAAAGGUGGCUUUUAGUUACCAUUUAUGAUGGACCGCCGGGCCCUUAGCUAUUCCCUGGCGUAUGGUCUCACAAUGGCAACAAUGUGUACCCAGGUCAUAGGGGGAAUGAUGUUUGGGGUCGUAACACCUUCUUCCGGUAUGGGCAGGCAGUCACCUGAAACUGUCCAAAUGAAGGAAGCUUGUUGAUGAAGGGCUUUUGGCUUGAUGAGGGAUUGGGAUAAAUCUCCUUUCGUUGUGAGGAAAAAACACGCCCCCAGCGGUGGGUUGUCCCGGAACGGCUAACCCGCAUAAACACGAUUGUUAAAUAAUG
Molecule: ribosomal RNA, 494 nt
Filed under: Frankia sp. NTA04
Lineage: Bacteria; Bacillati; Actinomycetota; Actinomycetes; Frankiales; Frankiaceae
Description: partial 16S ribosomal RNA
Rfam family: Bacterial small subunit ribosomal RNA (bases 27-335)
Source: RNAcentral